AAUUAUUAUGGAGAAUAGAGUUUUGAGGGCAGUAAUAUCUAUAUUGUUGAAAGUCAUUAAUCAUAGGCUCUCAUCUAGCAUUAUUAACCCAUCUAUAUUGAUUACCACCACAUGUUAAUCAACUUGCAUAUAUCAAGGUAUCAAGAAACUUAGUCUAAGAUGCACUAUGCAUGACAUUAACAGCCACAAUUUAUUUUUGAAAAGUCACUAGUAUAUGUUCCUUAUUGUGGUUUUUGCUUAUGGCAUGCAUUAUUACAUAUUACAAGUUACUCAUGCAAUAGGCAGGAAGUAAUGCAAGUUAACUAGUUAAUAUCAUGCAAAAAAAAAAAAAAAAACUAAAUUCACAAUAUUGUUGGCUUCCAGAGACCAAGAAGUAAUGCAAAGGCAUGAUGUAAACCACUUACUUCAUUUUCAGCUGCUUCCAGGUUGUGAGCUGAGUCAUACACCUGUGAGUAACUUUUAAUAAAAUAGAGGUGUUCACCCUUGUCCUUCAAUUCCUUCACAUUGUAGAUGAAAGGCCUCGCCCCGGUGUGGUGGUGCAAUGUCUUCUUGUCUCGAUUACUCUUGUUUGCAGCCGAUCUUCUCUGUAAUUUCAUCAUAUUAACACUUUGGUUAUUAACAUCAAGCUUAAUCAUCAAAAACCACAAACACAAAACUGACCAAAUGAACAGUAGUAAUGCAAAACCCAGAUAUAUACUUGUCCCCAGAGAAACUAUUGUAGUAAUGCAAUGCAAGUAAUAUAUAUACUUGUAUCUAGAGAAACUGUUGUAGUAAUCAGUGGAAUAUAUAUAUA
Molecule: long non-coding RNA, 793 nt
Filed under: Fragaria vesca (wild strawberry)
Lineage: Eukaryota; Viridiplantae; Streptophyta; Magnoliopsida; Rosales; Rosaceae
Description: long non-coding RNA (FVES_LNC004859)
Source: RNAcentral